Molecule: long non-coding RNA, 1157 nt
Filed under: Equus caballus (horse)
Lineage: Eukaryota; Metazoa; Chordata; Mammalia; Perissodactyla; Equidae
Description: lncRNA (ENSECAG00000049691.1)
Source: RNAcentral
UUAUCUGUUUCCUUUGGUGGGGUCAAGCUUACGUGAUUUUUUGUAAUACUCGAUUCUUUGCAUUGGUAUCUGUUCCAAUUUACUCUUCCAGACUUUACAGGUUUGCUUUGGCAGAGACACUCCUUCAUCAAUCAGUCCAGUUAAACCCAUUUUAGAAGGUGGUGAUGCAGGUGUGCUCCCAAAGUUAGGCCUAUAUUUUGGAAGCAAGCAAUCAGGUGUUUAAUAAGUAUUUCUAUGGAAAUAAAAAGAAAAACAAGGUUAAUGGCUGGAGCAAAUUAUAAACUAGUUCCUGAGUCUGGGAGGCAGCCAGUCAAGAAGACUUCCAGAUGUUAGAGUCAAAGCAUCUUUUGCAGCUUGAAAUGUCUCUGAUGAUGUCAUCAGGCAUUCAGGUAUUUUUCUGAGUGGCUUACAGCUUACAAAGCAACAGACAGGAAUCUCUCAAGUUUCUAUCAAGUUGUCCAGCUUUAGUUAGCAAGGCUUCAGGAAAAAGAGCGGGCUCAAUUCUCAAUGAUUCCAAAUGAAAAUGAGGUUAAAAAUUGAAAACAUUAGUUUGGAGAUUUGUAACCAGGUAUUUCAGUAGAAGAAUUCAGGAUCCAAUCCAGUUCACAGAUAGAAAAAAGACCUCAAAGACAACUAACAGAACUAGGAUCUCAUAUCCACAAAUGUGUAUUAUAGUUUUUCACUGAAACAUAAUUCUUCUCUCUAAAAUCACCCUCAUUUUUACCAAAGAUAGCCAAAUUGAGACUAAUUGGUUUGCAAUAUAAGUUUAGUUUCAAGAAACUUGGCCCAAUUAUUUACAUAAGUGCAGCAAGAAUAGCAAUUGAUCCUAUAGGCUCUUAAAUUUUCUUUCUGGAAUGUUUUUAUGAGGAAUCUCAGAUUGAACCUUAAAGAAUUCCCGAGGCCAGGAAAGCCAAGCCAAGGAUUUGUGCCAUCAGGCCUUGCCUGCAGUACCUUAGAUUUGGGUGGAUUUCUCUCUUGAGUUUCCCCAGAAUAUUUUGAGGUUCCUUGCACCUGCCAGAUAAGCAAUCUUCCUUACUUACCAGGUAAGAUUGCUGGAAUCUCUCUCUGUAAAGCAAGGUACCAGGCCCAUAUUUCCAAGUGGCUUUAUUUCCAGAAAGUCAACCUUAUUCCUCAAAGACAGUAUUGUCAUAUCUGAG